UGUUUCGGCUAGGGGGCCAUCCCGGCUUACCAACCCGAUGCAAACUGCGAAUACCGGAGAAUGUUAUCACGGGAGACACACGGCGGGUGCUAACGUCCGUCGUGAAGAGGGAAACAACCCAGACCGCCAGCUAAGGUCCCAAAGUCAUGGUUAAGUGGGAAACGAUGUGGGAAGGCCCAGACAGCCAGGAUGUUGGCUUAGAAGCAGCCAUCAUUUAAAGAAAGCGUAAUAGCUCACUGGUCGAGUCGGCCUGCGCGGAAGAUGUAACGGGGCUAAACCAUGCACCGAAGCUGCGGCAGCGACACUCAGGUGUUGUUGGGUAGGGGAGCGUUCUGUAAGCCUGCGAAGGUGGCCUGUGAGGGUUGCUGGAGGUAUCAGAAGUGCGAAUGCUGACAUAAGUAACGAUAAAGCGGGUGAAAAGCCCGCUCGCCGGAAGACCAAGGGUUCCUGUCCAACGUUAAUCGGGGCAGGGUGAGUCGACCCCUAAGGCGAGGCCGAAAGGCGUAGUCGAUGGGAAACGGGUUAAUAUUCCCGUACUUGGUGUUACUGCGAAGGGGGGACGGAGAAGGCUAUGUUGGCCGGGCGACGGUUGUCCCGGUUUAAGCGU
Molecule: ribosomal RNA, 607 nt
Filed under: Salmonella enterica subsp. enterica serovar Montevideo
Lineage: Bacteria; Pseudomonadati; Pseudomonadota; Gammaproteobacteria; Enterobacterales; Enterobacteriaceae
Description: partial 23S ribosomal RNA
Rfam family: Bacterial large subunit ribosomal RNA
Source: RNAcentral